CGGGUUUGAACGUAGGGAGACAGGGGUGGAAACAUUCUAUUCAGCAAUGACUGCCUACGAGGUGCUGCAUGGUUGUCGUCAGCUCGUGCCGUGAGGUGUCGGCUUAAGUGCCAUAACGAGCGCAACCCUUAUUUCCAGUUACUAACAGGUCAAGCUGAGGACUCUGGAGAGACUGCCAGCGUAAGCUGUGAGGAAGGUGGGGAUGACGUCAAAUCAGCACGGCCCUUACAUCCGGGG
RNAcentral lists this ribosomal RNA (237 nucleotides) under uncultured bacterium. RNAcentral's name for it is "partial 16S ribosomal RNA". It matches the Rfam family "Bacterial small subunit ribosomal RNA", at positions 976 to 1213 of the family's 1533-position model. The record is from RNAcentral.